This 190-nucleotide non-coding RNA is filed under the name Parageobacillus caldoxylosilyticus. RNAcentral describes it as "Geobacillus caldoxylosilyticus Lysine sequence". It matches the Rfam family "Lysine riboswitch aptamer". Rfam says of the family: Riboswitches are metabolite binding domains within certain messenger RNAs that serve as precision sensors for their corresponding targets. Allosteric rearrangement of mRNA structure is mediated by ligand binding, and this results in modulation of gene expression. This family includes riboswitches that sense lysine in a number of genes involved in lysine metabolism, including lysC. The record is from RNAcentral. RNAcentral also lists the same sequence under 1 other name. Lineage: Bacteria; Bacillati; Bacillota; Bacilli; Caryophanales; Anoxybacillaceae.
CAUCGAAGUAGAGGUCGCAGCUUUUAUGAGUACGGUAAACGAGACGCAGAGCACGUCAAAGACUUUGCCGGAAAGGAAAAGCUGCCGAAGCCUGAACAUUGCUCUGAAUGUUUGGGCUGGGGUUGUCGCCGAAUAGGGGCAACACUGUCAUGCGCGCACGAAUGUGCACGCAUGGAGCGCUAUCUUCGUG